RNAcentral lists this unclassified non-coding RNA (351 nucleotides) under soil metagenome. RNAcentral's name for it is "partial contains 5.8S ribosomal RNA, internal transcribed spacer 2, and large subunit ribosomal RNA". The stretch from base 1 to 120 matches the Rfam family "5.8S ribosomal RNA", at positions 35 to 154 of the family's 154-position model. The record is from RNAcentral.
GAUGAAGAACGUAGCGAAAUGCGAUAAGUAAUGUGAAUUGCAGAAUUCAGUGAAUCAUCGAAUCUUUGAACGCACAUUGCGCCCGCCAGUAUUCUGGCGGGCAUGCCUGUUCGAGCGUCAUUACAACCCUCAGGCCCCCGGGCCUGGCGUUGGGGAUCGGCGGAGCCCCCCGUGGGCACACGCCGUCCCCCAAAUGCAGUGGCGGUCCCGCCGCAGCUUCCAUCGCGUAGUAGCUAACACCUCGCGACUGGAGAGCGGCGCGGCCACGCCGUAAAACACCCAACUCUUCUGAAGUUGACCUCGAAUCAGGUAGGAAUACCCGCUGAACUUAAGCAUAUCAAUAAGCGAGGA